RNAcentral lists this ribosomal RNA (381 nucleotides) under uncultured Pseudomonadota bacterium. RNAcentral describes it as "bacterial SSU rRNA". It matches the Rfam family "Bacterial small subunit ribosomal RNA", at positions 83 to 498 of the family's 1533-position model. The record is from RNAcentral. Lineage: Bacteria; Pseudomonadati; Pseudomonadota.
UAGCAAUACUUAGUGGCAGACGGGUGAGUAACAUGUGGGUAUCUGCCCUUUGGCCUGGAAUAACACGAGGAAACUUGUGCUAAUACCGGAUAAGUCUUUACGGAGAAAGCUUUAUGCACCAUUGGAUGAGCCUGCACUUGAUUAGUUUGUUGGUGGGGUAAUGGCCUACCAAGACUUUGAUCAAUAGCUGAUUUGAGAGGAUGAUCAGCCACAUUGGGACUGAGACACGGCCCAAACUCCUACGGGAGGCAGCAGUGGGGAAUCUUGCACAAUGGAGGAAACUCUGAUGCAGCGAUGCCGCGUGAGUGAAGAAGGCCUUUGGGUUGUAAAGCUCUUUCGUCGGGGAAGAAAAUGACUGUACCCGAAUAAGAAGGUCCGGCU